RNAcentral lists this long non-coding RNA (43138 nucleotides) under Marmota monax (woodchuck). Lineage: Eukaryota; Metazoa; Chordata; Mammalia; Rodentia; Sciuridae. The record is from RNAcentral.
GAGGUAUAUAUACCGUAGCUGCACGCACUCUUGUAUUCCAGGGUGGACUUUGACUUUGGUGUCUGCGUUAAAGAUUGGUGGUGAGCUUCUGGGAGCUGCUGGAAGACAGGUGGGGGCAGAGCCUGCUAUCAAGAGCUGUUUGGCUGCAGAGGUUGCUGCUUAUGAGGAAUCCACGUGCCAGUACAAGCAGGAAAUUAUAUUUUCCUUACAGGAAUCUUUUAGGAAGGUAUGUAUACUUACUCACAUGUAUUAAUACAAAUAAAAUUACGUUUUCUUUAUAUAAUUUCACAUAUUACUUAUUCAAAAUAAGAAAUUGAUUUGAAAAUUAGACAAAGACAAUACAUGGUGGCACACAUCUGUAAUCCCAGUUAUUGGGAAACUGAGAAAGGAGAGUUGCCAGUUCAAGUUUCCUUUUCAUUUAAAAUGACUAAUAUAAAAUAUAUUUCCAGGAAUUUAUCUGUUUUAAAUAAAUUGUCAAAUUUGGGGAUCAAGAGAUAUGUAGCAUUAUAUUAUUUUCCUGUUAAUAUGAAUGGGGUCAUUCAAGGUGCUCUGCUUUUAUUCCUGAUAUUGACAAUUUUUGCCCCCCCUCUUCAAUUAUAUAUAUUAUAUAUUAUAUAUAUAUAUAUAUAUAUAUAUAUAUUAUAUAUAUAUAUAUUCGAUUAUAUAUAUUCAAUUAUAUAAUUUAUCAAUUAUAUAUUUUUUUUAAUAUCCAGGUUCGCAUUGAAUUUUCUUCAUUCAUUUUCUUUUAUUUCACUGAUUCUGAGUUUAAUAUUUAUUAUAUUUUGACAUAGAUUGAUUUUUUCUUCUUUUCAAUGUGAAUGCUUUGGAUAAUUAUUUUGAAACUAUUUUUUUUUCUAAUAGAAAUAAUUAAUGCUACCCAUGUUCCUCUCAACACUAAAUAAAUGCACUCCAUAGAAUUUACCUAUAUCAGCUAUCUAGUGUUUAAAAAUUCUAUUUGUAGCUUUGAUUCCUGGAUUAUUUAGAGUUAUGCUGUUUGAUUGCCAAAUAUUAGGGAUGUUAUACAUUAUUUGUCUCUUUCUCGCGCGCGUGUGUGUGUGUGUGUGUGUGUGUGUACACAUGUUCCCCAGGAAUGGACCCAGUGCUUUAAGUAUGCUACUGAGUGCUGUGCCACUGAGCUAUUUACCCAAGCCCCGCUGAUAUUGAACACAAAAUUUGUAUGAUAUCAACAGUUAUGCAUUUUGAUGUUUCUUUUACCUGCUGUCUAGGUUGUUGAAUAUUCUGUGUGCAUUUAAGAAAUGCUGUUUUUGUUUUUGGUGGGAUUUUUUUCUGUAAAUGUCAAUUAAUUCAAGUUCUCUGAUUAUUUCAUAAAGAUUAUCAUCUAUGGAUUGUUGAAUUUCUGUGUAAAUUUUCUAUUAAUUAAUUAUUGAACAAGUGCUAUUGAAAUCUUCAUCUUUGUCAUUGGGUUUUAAGUAUUUUGCUUAUAGAUCUACCAUUUUAUGUGUUCAUGUACUUUAAAAAAUUUGGGAGAACAUGCAAAUUUAGGAUUGUUAAGACUUAUGGAAUUGUUCUUUUCAUCAGGUAAUGUGCUACCUCACAUAGUUCUGUUUUGAGGUUCUUUUUCUUUCAUAUUAUUAGAACUACUUGAGCUUUCUUUUGGUCAGGGGUUUCAUAGUACACAUUUUUUCCCAUUGCUCAAAAGAUAAUAAAUGAUUUUAAUUAAAUGCCUACCAAUACAGAAAUAUCCUUAUUUUAGUAAGUUUAUUUUGUCUUAUAGUAUCGUGGAAAAUAUUUUAUAGCUUUUUAAUUUUGAAUUCUUUAAAUAUUAAUAUUUCUGACUAUACUUAUUAGUACAGUAUGAAUUGUCUAUAGAUGUAAAAAAAUUCAUUCUAUGUGAGUAAAAUUUUCUUUCAUGAUGACCAUCAUAUUGACACUAAAUUUGCCUUUCUAUAGUGUGCCAACUGUUUGAUAUACACUAAAACAAAUAUGUCAGGAAUGAAGAAUUUUUUAAAAUUAAGUGUGAAAAUAAAAAUUUAUGAUUUUUACACUUGUCUGUUGAUGCUAACAAUAUGUUAUUUAAGUUGAAUAUUGGUAAGCUAGCAGAAUUUAAAAAUAAAUCAAAAUAUUAUUCAGGUAUAUUGGAAUUGUAAAGUCAAAUAAAUGAAAUAUGAAACGUGUCAGUCAAGUUUCUCACUGUUGAGAAAUAGAUGUCCUUUAAAAUGUUGAGGAAACUUCCUUUGAUCCUUUUUUUUUUCCUGGUGUUUUAAACAUAAAUGGGUAAUACAUUUUGUCUAAUACUUUUUCUGAAUCUAUUGAGAUAACCAUGUAAUAUUUUUUAUUUAACUCUCUUUUGUGCUGAAUUACAUUUAUUUAUUGACAUAUUUUGAGUACGCCUUGAAUAAUUGGGAUGAAACCCACUUUAUCAGGAUACACACUAUCUUCUUGAUUUUUUUACUGUGGUUUGGUAAGAAUUUUUGCAUCUAUGUUCAUCAGGGAUAUUGGUCUGAAAUUUUCUUUUCUUGGUGUGUCUUUGUCUGGUUUUGCUAUUAGGAUAAUACUGGGCUUCAUAGAAUGAAUUGGUAUUGUUCUCUCCUUUUCUAUUUCAAGGAAUUAAAUUUGAGGAGUAUUACAUUACUUCUUCUUUAAAGGUCUGACAGAUCCCAGCUAGGGAUUCAUAUGGUCAUAGAUGUUCCAUUGUUCAAAGACUUAAUAGCUGUUUCAUUUUCAUGACUUCAUAUUGGUCUACCUAAGUUUUUUACAUUCUUAUGGUUCAAUUUGGGUAGGUCAAAUGUCUCUAGGAAUUUGUCACUUUCUUUGACACUUUCCAGCUUAAUGGAGUACACAUUUUCAAAAUAGUUUCCAAUGAUCUUCUGGAUUCCAGUAGUGUCUAUCAUGAUAUCUCCUUUUGCAUUAGUAGCUUUGUUAAUUUGGGUCAUCUCUCUCUUUCUUUUGAUUAGUUUGGCUAUGACUAUAUCCUUCUUGCUUAUCAUUUCAAAGAAUCAACUCUUUAUUGCACUUAUCAUAUUUAUUACUUCUUAGUCUCAAUUUUCUUUAUUUCUACUCUGAUUUUAAUUAUUUUUUGUUUUCUACUAAUUUUUAGCUUGUUCUUUUUCUAGGGCCCUGAGGUAUAAUAUUAGAUUAUUUAUUUGGUAUCUAUUUGUUUAAUGUAGGACUCAGUGCUCAAAACUUUCCUCUUAGAACUUCCCUCAUUCUGUCUCAGAGAUUUUAAUAUGUGUAUCUCUAUUUUUUGUCAUAAGCUUUUAAUCACUGUGACCAAAAGAUCUGACAAGAACAAUUUUAGAGAAGAAAAAGUUUAUUUGGAGCUCAUGGUUUCAGAGGCCUUUGUCCGUACAUGGCCAACUUCAUUUAUGUGGGCCAGAGAUGAGGCAGAACAUCAUGUCAGAAACAUGUGCAAGAGGAAAACAGUUCAAGAUAUAGCCACCAGAAAGAACAAAGAGCUCCCCUCACCAGGGACAAAAUACAAACUCCAAAGGCACACUCCCAAUGACCUACCUCCUCUAGCCAGAUCUUAGCUGCCUAUAGUUACCACUCAUUUAAUCCAUUCAAGUGGACUAAUACACUGUUUAGGUUGAUACUCUCAUAAUCUUAUCAUUUCUAAAUUUUCUUGCAUUGUCUCACACCUGAGCCUUUGGAGAAUACCUCAUAUAUAAACUUUAACACUUUUGUUUCUAAGAAUUUUUUUUUCUCCCCUACAUGCACUCUUCUGUGAUUCAUUUCUCAUUAAAAUGUAUAUUAUUUAAUACUAAUGUGUUAGAGGGUUUCUGCUUUUUAUCAUGUCAUUAAUUUAUAAUUUUAUAGUUAUUAUUUUAUUUUGAUCUUUAUUUAUAAGAUGCAAUGAAUUAUCUCUAUUUAUUGUGUUUGCUGAAAUUUGCUUUGUGCACUAAAAUAUGAUCUAUUGUAGAGAAUGUUCCAUAUGCCACAGAGAUAAAAAUGAAUUCAGUUGUCAAUGGAUGAAAUAUUCUGUAGAUGUCUGUGAGAUCCAUUUAAUUAAUAGCACUUUUUAGUUCUGAAGAAGUUUUACAUAUUUUAUGGUUGAUGGCCUAUAUACUGGUGAGAGAUGUAUGUUGAACUCACCCAACAUUUUUUUUUACUGUGGUCUAUUUGAUUCUUUCUGAUGAGAAGAUUUUGUUUUAAGUAUAUACAUGCAGCAGUGUUUGGGGCAUAAAUAUUUACAAGCAUUGUAUCUUCUUGUUGGAUGCUUUCCAUAACCAGUUUGAUAUGAUCCUCUCUGUCUCUUCUGAUUAAUUUUGGUUUGAAAUCUACUUUGUCUGAAAUUGGUUUCUGUUUGUAAGGUAUGUUUUUACUCAUUUUGAAAAAUUCAUUAUGUCAUUGUAUUUUUGAGGUAAACCUCUUGCAAACAAUAUAUGGUUGGUUCUUGGUUUUUGUGUCUUUUGAUGAAAGAGUUUAGGCUAUUUAUACUAAAUGUUAUUAUAGAAAGAUGAUUUUUAUUUACUACAAUUUUUUUCUAGUGAUUCAAACUUUAUUCUCAUUUAAUUGACUAUUUUUCUAAUGCAAUUCAUCUUUCUGCUGGUUUCCACUUUCAUUUUUUAUAUAUCUGCAUGAAAUACUUCAUUGAAUAUGUUUUGUUGUGUAGGUUAAGUGGUUUUAAUUUUUUUUUCAGUUUCUACUUAUUAUGAAAUUUUUUAUUUCAUUUUCAAUAUUCUGAAAAUUUUGCUGACUAUACUAAAAUAGGUUGGUGCCUGUUUUCUUUUGGGCCUUGGUAUUUAUCAUUACAAGCCAUCUAGGAUUUUAAGAUCUGGGUUAAGGAAUGAUUUGAAAUCUGACUUAGUCUACCUCUAAAUGUGACUUUCCAUUUUUCUCUAACAGCUUUAAAAAUUCUAUCCUUGUUCCAUAACUAGGCACUUAAUUCAAAAUAUGUCUGGGAGAAGAUCUUCUGUGGUUCUAUUUGGAGAUAUAUAUCUUAGACUUGAAUUUCCAUCUCAUUCCUAAGAUUUGGAAUAUUUUACAGUUAUUAUUUAAUUGAAAAAGAUUGUGCAGUCCUUCAGUUUGUAUUUCAGAGCUUUAAUUUACUCCAAUGAUUCUUUAAAUUUGGUCUCUUGAUAUUUACCCAGAUUGCUAUUGAAUAUCCUGGUCAUGAUUUUUUAACAUGUUUUAUUUUAAGUUUAUUAUUUUCAAGAUUAUAUGCUUUGUCUACAAGGCCUGAAGAUCUACCAUCAGAGUGGUCUAAUCUAUUGGUGUAUAUUUUGUAUUGAAUCAUUAAUUUGUUUUAUUAAGUAUUUCAUUUCCAGGAUUUUCAUUUUAUUCUUUUUCAGAACCUCUACCUCUUUAUAGGAAUGAUCUUAUUAGUCCAAUAUUUUUAAUUUUAUUUUUUUUAAAUCUUCUUUGGCUCAUUGAUCAUUUUAACUAUAAAUUUUCUGAAGUCUUUUUCUGACAUUUCCUUCACUGUAGUGUCAAUGUGGUCAGUGUCUGUGUGUUGUAGGCUGUUUGAGGUGGUUUGUUCCCUUGUUUUUCAUACUGCUUGUAUGUCUAGCCAGCUAUUGGGAUGAUUAUCACUUCUUUUAGCAAGAAAUAAUUUUGUGAGCUUCUUUCAAGUGCCUUGGGUUGGGUGAAUAUUCAGGUAUUAAUACUCUACUCUUUGUGUCCUCUACUCUUCCCAAAAUUAGAACCAUUUUGAAAGAGGACACUGAAACCUAUUUACUAUUACAGCAGAGACAAGUCACAUACUAUUCAACCUUACAAUAUUCCCAAAUUAAGCUCAUUUUCUGCUAUUAUAUUACUGAAUAAUUUUGCCAUGCCAUUAGUUUGUUUCUCCUCUCCUUCUUCAAUGCCUCUCAGUUUCAAGUUUGACAUUUUAAUGUUGUUCCACAGCUCUAUAUAUUCUAUUCAUUGUUUUCUCCCCUUUAUGUCUGUGUAAGUAUUCCAAUGCACCUAUAUUAUCCUUGAUUCCUCAUAAUGUUAAAAUUGGUCUAGUCCAUUGAUGCAAUUCUCCACUAAGUUUUUAUGUGAUUAAUCAAAGAUGAAGGCAGAGGAAAUGGGGAGGAGAAGAACUAGGGAAUGAAGUUGACCAAAUUAUGCUAGGUAUAUGUAUAAAUAUAGCACAACACAUUAUGAUUUUAAAUAUACUACAAUGCCUCAUUUAAGGAAAUAAGUAAAUAAAUAGAAAGGAACAAAUAUAGUAGACUAAGGGGGUUUGGAGGAGGAAGGAGUAAAAUCAAUGGACAAUACUGGGGACUGAAAUGGAGAAAAUUAUGUUACAUGCAUUUAUGAAAAUGUCAAAAUAAUCCCGACUAUUAUGUAUAAAUGUACUACACUAAAUAAAGACCAAUAAAAGCCACAUCUGAAUUCUCCUCAGGAAUUCUCCUCCAUAUAGGAAUAAAAUAAAAUGUUAAAGUGUAGAAAAAACCUAUACUAGUCUCCCUUGUAAAAUUAUUUUUCAAAAAUAAAAGAAAUCAAGACUUCCUCAAAAAAUUUUAAAUUUGUUGCCAGUAGAUCUGACUUACAAAUAAUAUUAAAAAGAAGAUCUUCUGAGAGAAAAUAAUAAUAUAAAUCAGAAACUUUUAUCUACAUGAAGAAGUAUUAGGAAAAGAGUAGGGAGAUAAGAUAAAAAUCUUAUUCAUUUUUAACUGAUCUUAAAAGUAAUGUUCAAAAUAAUAGCAACAAUAUUGGUGAUUAUGCAUAUAAUUAAAUAUACAUAUUAUGUGUACAGCCACAUUGUAAGAGCAUUUGGCAAUAUCUUCUAAAACUAAAUAUCCUCAUCAUGUACUUCACCAAUCAUCUUCCUUGGUAUUUUCUCAAGAAAUUUGAAGACUUAUGUCCACAUAAAAUCAAAAAACCUGGGUGUUUAUAGCAGCUUUCUUUACAGCAUAUUUUGUACCGUCGUCGGUUUCACAAGACUUCAUCUAUUUAUCUUUUCAUUUGUAAGUGCAUAGUUCUAUUAGUUUCUAAAAGUGGUAAUUAACUUAUUCGAUGAUUUUGUACUUUUCUGCCUCCCAGAGUUUACGUAUAUUCACUCCCUUCCUUAGGUAAAUUUUUCUAAUACAUCAUGAAUUAAGGGUGACAAUAUUAUACCCUUUUUGUUUUGACACCCGUUUCAUUUUAUUAGUCACCAACGGUCUUCAAUCCCUUCUUCGUCUCUUCUUUUCCGUCUGGAUUCUAUUAAAAAAAUGUGUUACUUUGUUAAGAUGUACUAUGAUAUUACCAACUAAGUAUCGUAAUGCGAAAAGUUACGAAUUGUGGUUUUUACUGGGUAUCAAACUUAAAAUCUGAAACUCAUUACGGCUACAAAAUUUCACAAAUGUUCAAGAUUCUUUACACAUUAAGACCAACCUCUAAAACUGUCACAACCUCCAACACACACCACCUUCUUGAUGAUAAACUCAAACCAUACUUGCUAGGUGACUAACUUUUAUCAACAAACAUCUUCUUAUAAAUCAAAAUUCACCAUACGUUAAAUUCACAAUGUAUCUAGACAAUAAACUUCCAUAAGUAAAAAUUUAAAUAAGUAAAUACGAUAAAACAAUAUGUACUGACGUCUUACUACGUCCGCAAGUACUAAUUAAGAGAUCUGACCAAUUAAAAGAAUUGUAUACAAGUAGGAUAACGACUCUCUUUCCAUAACUUUACUUCAAAAGUAAUGGGUUAUUUGUUUAUAUUUGUCCUUAAAAAUCUAUCAGUUUUACUUUUACAUGUUUUAUACCUGUACAUUUCUGCUCAUUUUUAGAAUACUUAUAAUGUUUUGUUGGAUUUAACCACUUAUUAUUAUAUAUAUUUAUCUCUUUUGGUUACUCUUCAUACUUUUUGUCUGAAAUGUACUUUAGCUUAUGUUAAUAUAGCCACUUCUGCCUUCUCAUGAAUGUUUUAAAGACAUAUCUUCUCCAUCAUUUUUCAGCUGUACAUAAUAUAUAUUCACUGAGUUUCUUAUAGACAGCAUACCCAAGUACAUCCAUCCAACAACUUUUAUGUGCAUAAGAGGGACAAAACAAAAACAGGAAAACAGGAACAACAACAAACCUGUGGCAUGAUCCUUGACACAAUCCUGAGGACUUCCUGCUUACUAUAAUGGUUGCUAUGGUGCAGGAUAGAAAUAUGAAUUCCCCACUGAAUUCUCUUUUGAUUUGAAGGUGGUUUUAGAAGGACACAGAGAAACUUUUCUGCUUUUGGUAAGGUCUAGCUCUAUUUUGAACUCUUCUGAUACCACCCCAACAGGAGAGGGUAUUGAUUGCUUCAUUGUAGUUUGGUGAGGGUAGAAGUAUGGGCUCUGGGGCUGGAGUUGUGGCUCAGUAGUACAGCCCUUGCCUGGCAUGUGUGAGGCCCUGAGUUCAAUCCUGAGCAAAAUAAAUAAAUAAAUAAAUAAAUAAAUAAAUAAAAUAUUUCAUUUACAAAUAAUUUUUUUAAAGAAGUACAGGCUGGCUGUGUACCAGCCUUUGCUGCUAUGGGUGAAAAUAGAGCCACUAUUGUGACUUUUCACUGUAGUAGCAAGAUUAUUGCCUAAAGUGUUCUCUCUUGUGAGGUUGCCUCUUUCCUGAACAUUUGGGUAUAGAGAAAGAAGAAGCAUUUGCCAUUUUUCUUUUUUUUUUUUUUUUGUUUUUUCCUUUUUAAAUUUAAUUUUGUCUGUCUCUGUUAAUGUUUUAAGUUAUUUUUAGGCCAUUAUUUUGUUAUGGGGAGACCACUCAGAAAACACACUAAUUCUGAAUUAGAAACAAAUCAAAACUUUGUAUUUUGUCAAUUUUACCUGGCCAGGGACUGCUUUCAUCAGAGACCAAGUGCUCUCUGAAAGAACAGCAGCCCUGAGUUGUUUGUGACCAAAGUAUUUCAGGAAGAAAAUAGCAAAGAAAAUCAUACCCUGGGGACUUUCCUAUGGAAUUUUGCAAAUUGCAAGCAAGCAAAAUACAAGGGCUGAAAAUGUAGUUAGCAGAGCAAAAAGAGAAAAAUGUAUACUCAUUUAUGGGGGCCUAUAUCCUCAUUUGUUUAGAUCUACAUCCUCAUUUGUAUAGGUCUACACAAAAACAAUUUAAAAAUAACACUACAUCCAUAUCUAUAUCCAUCUCUAUAUUUAUCUGUAAAUAUGUGUAACUAUAUUAGACCUCUAAGCUUACACUUAUCAUACUAUAUUUUUCUAUCUUAUUGUUAGCAACUUAGAUUCUAUGUCUUACAGUGAUUAUAUUGUUGUAUUUUUACUUUUUAUCUUUUAACUAUGGCAGACUGGAGUAACUUAACAUUACUAAUUAUGUAACACUUAUUUUCUAAUCCUAUUAUUUUAAUAAUUAAUAUUUUAUUAAUAUAUAAUUUCUAAUCUAUAACCAAUAACCUGUAUUGAUUAAAUUUAGACUGUAACAAUUUCUUUCAUUUCUGGGAUCCGUGACAUAAAAAGAAAACCCAAGAAUUCAACACCUGCCUUGCUUUUGGUAAUGGGGAUUGAGCUCAGGGGCAUUUAAAUUGUAAGCAAGCAACCAACAUUUCUAGACCUUCUUUAUGCUUUUAAAAAGACUUUCUUUAGAGACAGGGUCCCACUAAGCUGCUAAAGCUAACUUAACAACGGAUCCUUCAUCCUCAGUCUUCUGUGCAGCUGGAAUGACAGGCUUAUGCUACCGCAACUGACACCCUCUUGUCAUUUUUAAUAAUUUCUUGAAUUUAAGAUAGCUAGCCACUUGACCUUCUCUCCAUCUUUUAGAAUAGUGUUUGUUUGGUUUGAUUUCAUUUGAUUUUUAUGUACUGUCCAAAGAUGUUAGUUGUACUAGCAGAAGAAACAGGUAAUAGUUAAUUCUAACUCAUCUUCAUGAAAGAAGAACUACUGGUAAGUUUUCUAUAUUUUUAAAAGAAACAUAAUUUACAUAUAAAAUAAGAAGGGAUAUUUAAAUGUUUUCUUUAGAGAACAAGCAAUAUCUGGAAAAUGAAAAAAAAAUUGAUUUGAGAUGGUGUUUAUGCCAGUGAUAUUUGAAAGUAUUACACUUUAUAUUAAAGCAAUGUCUUUGGUUUUAAAAUGAAGAGAUGGAAAGUUCAGUGAGAAUAAAGGAUAAAUCUGCAAUGUUAAAUUUCUGCUUUUCCCUUUUGAGGCAUACAUUCACAAAAUGUUAUUACAAGCUUUUCAGGCAGCAUUUGCAAUUUUGAGUAAUUUCUGCUGUAGUCUGGCUCUGACUACUGUUCCUUGAAUCCUAAGCAGUAUAGAGUGAUCCAGAAAAUUCUUCCAUCUAUUCUGUGAUUGUUUUUUUUUUUCAGCUCUUAUUAAAUAAUCCAUAUUUAGAGGCUUUCCCACUUAAAAACAAAAACAAAAACAGAUAUAUCUUCUUUGUUUGCAUUGAAAUCAUGCAGACAUUGAAUGAAGAAGAAGACUUUUAAACCUAAUUCCUUAAUCAGCAACAGGCCAACUUGUCUGUGAAAUUUGUACAGAGCAAUGCUCAAUUGCCUGAUUUUUUUUACUAUUUUUAAUCAAUUACAUUAUAAACAGCACUCAUAUUAAUUUUAUUAUUUUUUAUCAACAUUAUUUUAAGUACAUUUUUUUUCCUGAAACAUAUCUAGCUUUAGGUGAUAAAUCAUUCAUGAUAAAGUAAAACAUAAUACAAUAAUACCUACUAAUUUAAUGUGUCAUAUUAAGAACAUAAAUCACAAAAAGCCUGGCACAAUGGGCUAGAAAUGUUUAAGAUGGAAAAUAGUGUCCUGAGCAGAAAUUUUCAGGGUGCACCAGGAGUACAAAUGUGAAGGCUAAAUCCAUAACUUGGCUGUUUGGAUUUUAUUUGGAUUCUACCACAUUUUCUGAGACCAAUCAGGUACAUGAACCUGAAGUCACACUUCAUCCAAAAACAAAAUGAAACUGAUAUGAAAAACUCCAUUUUUUUCCUAUGAUUUUUCCUUUACUUCUUUUAUAUUCCUUAGUCUUUUUUAUUCAGUUCCUUUUUCUGUUCCUGACAAGUAUUACAAGGUUAGGGUCCAAGAUUUGUUCUUCAUUUUAUAUUUACACUCUUAACCAUCUCUUCUAUUGAAACCAGCUCUGCCUACCUUUAACAGUUACUGGUUCAGAGUAAAAGCUCCCAUCCUGAGCUGAACUCAAACUCAUCUCCUUGUGGUUACCUCUUUGGUAAUGUUUUUACUUACUUAUCUUGACAGCUCUUCCAUCAAUCCAUUUUAGGUAUUGACAUUACUCACCAGGUCUAGCUUUGCACUAGAUCAAUUCUCUAGGGUGCUGCCUCCAAUCCCCCUCCCACCUGUUCAGUGUAUACCUCAAUGCCACGCUAAUCAGUUUUUAAAGUGAUUUAUUAUUAGUCUUUCUCUGAAUCAAAAAGUUUUACUAACAUGCCUUUGUGGUUCUAUGUAAAAACAAAUUAAAUAGUUGCAAUAUUUCUUCCUGAAAUAAAUUUUAAAAAAUAGUUUAGGGAAGAAGUGCUUUGACAAUGUUGGAAUGAGGAACAUAAAAGACUUGAGCAAUCAGAUUAUUUCUAUUUCUCAGUUCUGUGUUGGCCUUUUUUCCCCCCAUUUAAAAGGAAUAUUUCACUUCUCUGCACUGGGGAAGAUGGCAAACAUCAGCCCCAGGCUUAGUAAUCCCAAACAACAAAGAUUUUGUGCCUCCUUCUGAUUAGGAGGCACUCCCAAGUGUUUCUUUUCAUCUUUUUUGGUGGGGUGUGAGGGGGUACGAGGAUUGAACCUAGGAGUGCUUAACCACUGGGCCACAUUCCCAGCCCUUUUUCAUAUUUUAUUUAGAGACAGGAUUUCGCUGAGUUGUUCAGGGUCUCACUAAAUUGCUAAAUUUGAAAUCUGUGUGUCUCCUGCCUCAACCUCCCCAGCCGCUUGGAUUGCACAUAUGUACCACUGUCAAGCCAGACACAGUUUUAAUUGGUUCUUCUUCUGUUAAUUCUUUUGGAUAAAUAACUGUUGCCAUAUAAAUGUGUUAAUUUUUUUUUAUCUUGUUUUGGCCAAGCUUUUUUACAUAGGAAAGAAGGAUAGGUGGGAAACUUAAGCGUGACUAGGUAGAAGAAACCUCCCUUAUCAAGAGACAACAAAUACUUCUUUUUAUUCUUAAGUUCCCCCUCUUCAGGAGAUCUUUCUCUUUUCUCAGUGUAACCCCUGGACAUUUUUAAAAUAAGUUUAUGAUUUAUAGAAUUUGGACUACAGAGUCAUUCAGGUUAUUCUCAAUCAAAUACCACCUGUGUGACCUUAGGAUAGUAAUUUAAUUAUUCUAAGCUUUGGUUUCUAAAUAUCUAAACCAGAAUAUGAUAAGAAACCCUACUAGUUAUGGUAAAUUCUAAAUGAAAUUGAGUAUGAAAAGCACUACCACAUAAUAAACACUCAAUUAAUAAUAGCUAUUUAUGAGUGUGUGGAGAUACUGCUUUCCUCAUUGCCUCCUCAUGCAUCUAUAAUUUCAAAAUGUUACUAAUUCAAAAAUUAGAAAUGGGGCAGGGAUGUGGCUCAGUGUAGUGCACUUUCCUAGCAUAGAUGAUAGAUAACCUGAGAUGGAUACCUAGCAGUGCAUAAACAUGAAAAAAAAUGGUAUGUCAUGAAUAUGUGUAUGAAUACUGUGAAUAAUGUCAGAUCCAUUGCUUUAAUUAAAUUUACUUAUGAGAGUAAACAUUAUUUCAUAUGUUUAUGUCUUUUUAAAUUUUGUUUUCAUUGUAGUUUUUUUUUAUGUUCUCUGUUGCCCUGUUUUCUAUUGGAAGUUUGGUCUUUUAAAUUCUUAGAUUUAAAAAUACCUGUAUAUAAUAUGUUUAUUAGUCUUUUACCUGUGAUAAAUGUUGUAAUUAUUUCCCCCAGUUUGACAGUUAUCUUGUGACUUUGCUUUUGGAUCAGAAUGAAUUUUUUUACCAAUAAGAAAUCUUUUAAUGUUGUCAAACUAUUAAUAUUCUUUUAUUACAUCUGUAUUUUGAGAAAUGGAGUGUUAUUUCCUAUGCUCAGAGUAAUAUAUGUGCCCAUGCUUUACUUUAAUAUGAUUUCUGUUUUUGCUUAUUUGUUAUUGUUUUUUACAUUCUUUAUCCAUUUGGGUUUAUUAUUUUGUUUAAUAUGGAAUAAUAAUCUCAAUUUAUCUUUUUCCAAAUGUCUUAACAAUCUGUGCCAGUCACACUAAUUAAAAAGUCCAUAUUUUUCCCAAUGAAUUGAUAGCAAUUUUAUUCCAAAGUAAUGCCACAUUUGAGUCAAGUCUAUUUCUGUAAUUUCUUUCAUUCCAUAUUUUUUGGUCUAUUUGUGGGCAGCAUUAUAUUGUUUUAAUUUUAGAGAGCUUAUACAAAAUUUAAUGUUUGAUGGGGUUAUUGCUUAUCACUGUUAGAUAAAAAAGAAAUUUCCUGGUUAUUUUUGCAUGUCUGUUUUUCCACAUUAAGGAUAGUAUUUAUUGUCUACUUUGAUUUACUAAGAAAAUUUAAUAGCAUUCUUUUACAAUGUGUUAAUAUUAUAAUAUAACUUCAGGAGAACUGACUUUGUCAUAAUUAUGACUUAGAUUUUAAGACUUGAAAUCAAGUGGUUUAAAUUUAAUUCGAUAUGAAGUAGUAACUUAAGUCAUUAUUUUCUUAUUUAGAAGAGUUUUCUCUGAAUAACUAUUAGAAUUAAAGGUAAAUUGAAGUACAGAUGGGAAGAUAAGUUGCGUGCUAUUCUCUUUCUUUACUUUCUUAAAAUCAUAAAAUUUUUGGCCUAGAAUUAUGCUGUUAAUAAGAAUCAUUGCCAAAAUUUAUGCAUAAUAACGAUUCUCUUUAAAAAAAAAACAUUUGAAGUUAGAGUUUAUGCUACUUGAAUCUUAGAAAUUCAUAACUUAUAAGAUGACAUGAAUUUUUUCAUUAAAAAUGUUUUUUCUCAGGCUGGGGAUGUGGCUUAAGUGGUAGCAUGCUCACCUGGCAUGUGUGCGUCCUCAGUUCGAUCCUCAGCACCACGUACAAACAAAAGAUAUUGUGUCCGCUGAUAACUAAAAAUUAAAUAUUAAAAAAAGUGUUUUAUCUCAAUUUUAUUAUCCAGAUUAGUAGGAUUUCUUCUCAGUAAAAUAAUAACAACUUAAAGAAAAAUGAUGGAUUUAACAAAAGUCAAUAAGAAAGAAAUUCUGUCAUUUAUAUUCAAAAAUUCCUAACUUCCUAUGUUCAUAUUUAGGUAAAGCAUUUUGUUAAUUAGCAGAAUCCAAAAACUGAGAGAUGAGGAAGUUUUAAUAGAAUAUGUUUUAAGAGGAAAAAAUGUCAAGGAUGAAGAUAUAAACAUCUACCUACUAUAUAUUGAUAGUAUAUAUCUAUAGUAUAUUUAUAGUAUAGAUGUAAUAUGCAUAAUACUAUCUAUAGUAUAUUUGUAGUAUAGAUGUAAUAUGCAUAAUAUGUAAAUAUAUGCUUAUGUAUAUGUGUAUAUAUAUUUUAUACAUAUAUAUGUAUACAUAUUUAAAUCAAGGCACUGACAGCAGUCACACUAAAUUGAAAACAUCUCAUAAACUUAUAAGAAAUCUUGUAAUAACUGUUCCCUUUAACAAAUAUAUAAUGGUUAAUGGCUGGGGAUGUAACUUAGUAGCAGAGUGCUUACUAGCAUGUAUGAAGCCCUGGGUUCAAUCCACAGUACCAUUAUCAAAAAAGUGAAAUCUUGUGGGCUGGGCAUGUUGACUUUGUGGUUUGCAGUUGUUCAGCAUAUGUGUGGCCCUGGAUUCAAUCCCCAAUACUCACAAAAUACAUCAAAUGUAUAAUGGUUAAAGCCAGAGACUAUGAGGAUCACUCCUUGCUUCCUACCACUGGGUAGGGUUAAUACUCGGCAUAUAUAAAACUUUGCUAAAGAAACUUUGUGAGAGUUCUUGUGUCCGAAUUAUUUCUGGUCUUCUGUAAUUUACAGAAAUUGUUUUUGGAUUAUAAAAUGUUUUAAACAUGGAAAGAGAAUAAUUUUUUUAGAAAUUAAUUAUAAUACAGUCAUUCAAAUAUAUAUAUAUAUAUAUAUAUAUAUAUAUAAAAUAUAUAUAUAUAUAUUUCCUAGCAAAUGACAGGCUAAUAGAGAUUUAUGAUGGAGAUUACAGUGUUAAGGUAUAAUCACAAUUUUCAUGCAGUGAUAUUUUAAACAAUUUUUAGAGAUAUCUUUAAUUCUUAAAAACAAAAAAAAUUACUGAAAAAUCUUGUUUCAGCAUUUUGAAAUAUCUGAUGACAUGAAGGUUUACAUGGUAACACAAAUCUAACAAAAAUGUUAAAAUACUGACAUGAAAUACAAAUCAACCUUUUCUCCCUAACUUCUCUAGGAGCACAGUUUUUGCUUUUUCAUGGCACUUGAUUCUGUGGAUUCUCUGCAUGUAUAAGGGUAGAAGAGAACUGAAUGAAGAAAGCCAUAGUCACUUGAGGUCCUACUAAAUUAUAUAAGAUAUAACAUUAUUUUUUUCUCUUCAGUAAAUUAGUAAUAGCUAUCAUAGUUUAAGCAUAAUAAAAAGGCUGAAUUAUGAUAUCUAUGACCAACUUAAGGAUAUUCAUUCUCAAACUAUUUGUGUAAUAAAUAUUAUUUUUGAUAAAUAUACUAUUAUUUUCUAAAAUUAUGAUUACAUAAAUACCAUUACAUGAUACACAUACACACAAAAAAAUUAAAAUUAAUAGCAAUUGUUCUUCAGAAUAUUUGGGAAAAAUUAUUCAGUGUUGGCUCCUAAGAUACUGAUAAAUUAUAAACAGUAAAUGUUUAUUUGUCAAGUGUGGUCAUUUGAAAAAAAAAUUCUUAUAAUUAACUUCUUAAUAAUAAUAUCAUAAACUUUCUAGUGGGCUAUUUGAAUAAAUACCAGAUUUCAUGUGCUAAACUAUUUAAAACACACAUAAAUAAUCAUCUAGUCUUUUAUGAAACAAAGUAAUGAUUAUUGUGCUUUGACUUCAUGCAGUUUAUCCAAAGGCCAUAUGUCCUUAUGUUGAAAUUGUAUUUUUCUUAUAAUUAUGUACAAAAUGUAUUCUGUGUAAAAUAUGCAAAUAUAAAAUUAUAAAUAUACUUAGGCAAACAGCAAUAUAAGUUUUAACAUAAUUUUAUAUAUAAUCUCUGAACAUUUGUUAGCUAGUUUAGACAUCAUGCUCUCAGGUCCCUUCCAUAUUCUUUAAUGUUAUUGAGGGCUCUGGAGAAAUGUUGUUCAUAUAAUUUUUGAUACUACAUUUGAAAUUAAAACUGAAAAUAAUUUUAUUCAUUAAUAAUCUCAUAAUAACAAUAACCCAAUACAUGUUCAUAUAAGUAAAAUACUUGUAUAAAACAGGUAUUAUUAUGAAAAGUUUUACCAAUAAAAUUGUAUUUUUUGAAAACUAUUAUACAAACAUAAAUUUCAAACUAUUCAUUGAGAAAUGUGCCUUUUUUUAGUUUGCUAAUUUUUAGAUUGCUAAUUCAAAUACCUCUUAAUAUUUGCUUAAUAUAUGAAACAUCUGUUGCAAUAUUCUGUUCUGAAUGAACUUCAUAAGGAAAGUCUUGCCUCACAUUGUUAUGUAGUUGGAAAAAUACGUAGCUUUCAGGUAAUCAUUGAUAUUCUUUGAUAUUAUAGAGAAAUUGACAAAUGAUAAUUUAUUAAACAUUGUUUUCAGUAUUUUAAAAUAAAUCAUGUCAUUAAGCCUGUUGUAAUCAGUUUCAUUUAAAUCCAUUGUUUAAUCUCUCUAAUUAGAAUUUUUUUCACAUAUAUUAUCUUGUUAUUUCAGUCAAUGGUAAUUUUGAAAAUAUCAGUUUUUGGAGUAAUGUAGAACUUCUAAAGGUUGACAGAUUUAAUUAUGUAAUAUCAAAUACUUGCAUGGUAAUACCACCAAAAGUCUCUUUUAAAAAGACUUUAAAUGCUAGGAGACUAUUAGUAUCCUGGUGUAGAUAAAUGCUUUCAAAAUUUGAGGUUUUGCUAGAAAGUUUGAAUUUUAUCAUUGUCAAAAAAUGCUGUCAGUUGUUUUCCUUGAAGGGAAUGGCUUGGUUGGUUCAGGAUGCAUCUCAUUCACACAAGGGUUUUUUCUUCUGGAGUAUCAAUUCAGUUUGAUACACAGUGGGAAUGUUUUAUGCAUACUUCCCAUUCAUCAUUAAAAUUGAUUCUAAUCAGUAAUUGAGUUUUUUUUUUUUCCUAGGUAUCAGGGAUUGUACUCAGGAGCACUCAACUACUAAGCCACAACCCCAGUCCUACUUUUUGUAUUUUAUUUAGAGACAGAGUCUCACCGAGUUGCUUAGUCCCUUGCUUUUACUGAGACUGUCUUUGAACUCAUGGUCUUACUAUCUCAGCCUCCAAAGCUUCUGGGCAGUGAUUGAGAUUUCAUGAAAUUAAUGAUUUUUACUGCAUCAUUCUUAGGAGAUACCCCCCACUGCCACAAACACAGAAAACUCAUAAAGGUGAGAAAUAUCAUGGCAAGAGUUUAAUGCCUCUGGAGUGAUUUAUAGGCGUGUAAUGACACCAAUGCUUCUGCAUUUUCAGUGCAAAUGCCAACCCAACCAAAAGAUAAAUAUAGUCUUACUGUCAUUAUGAAGAUAGCUUUGACCUCUUAGAUUUCCCAAAAAGUGUCUUAGGCUAGGAGUUUCCAUAGAAACUUCUUCAAGUAGUAAGUAAGAUUAUCAUUAAUAGUCUAAUGAACUGUGGUUGAUUUUGUAGAAGAUUGCUAACUCAAUGAAAAAAAUUAAUGAAAAAAAGAGAGACUACAUACUUUGACUACUUUUAUUAUGGGCUGGGUGCUGUUUUUGCCCUUACUGAUCCACUCUCAUCUCUCUGUUCAGUGUCUCUAGAGGGUGAUCUUCAUGGACUCUGUCACUGAGCUCCUUGAUCACUGGCUAUCAGAGGAUUUGGCCAGUAUACUUACAGGCAGGAGAUCAGUGGGCAAAGGAAAAAUGAGUCAAGAGCAUUUAUUCUUAAUUCCUUUCCUGCCAGGCAACUGAUUGACUACCACUUUAUUUCUCUCUCAGGGGCCAAAUGUCCUAUCAUGGCUAUUAAUCAGAGUUAAGAAAAAUAAUAUCAUUACUACUUUCUGAUGUUUCAAAUUAUUUUUAUUUACUUUUUAUAUAUAUCAUAAGAUUUGUGGAAUUCAUUUAUGUAUGAAUAAUGACAACUGUGUUUACAAAAGUUAAUUAAAUUAGUUGAGAUCUCAAAAUUAUCAUAUGGUGGAAUUGUGUCUUCUCUUCUUCACUGAUCACUGGAUUUAGAGCCCACACUAAAUCCCAUAUGAUCUCAUCUCAAAAUCCUUAACUUAAUUACAUCUAAAAAAGUCCAUACUUACAAAAUUAUAUGGGCAUCUUUUGGGGGCUACUAUUUAACUUUUUGUAAUGGCUCCAAAAUCACAGAGUGAUCAACUUCAUUCUUUUACUUCAUCUAGUCCCUGUCUCCUUACCUGGGUCAGCCCCAGCCAAGCUGCCAGUCUCCUGCUUCUGGAACAAAUUAUGGAAAUUUGCACCUCUGGAGCUUUGCCUUGGUGCUUGCCUCUGCCUAGAAUGCUCCACUGACAGCCUGGACUUCACUCCCCCACUUUCUUCUAGUGUUUGCUCCAACCUCACUACCCCCAACAAACUUGUUUCAAAUUGCAACCCUGCUGAAACUCCAUCCUCUACUCCAGCAUUGUCAAUUCCUCUUAAUGGGAUGUAUGCUACCUUUUUAUCUUCCAUAUCAUUUUGCAACUUCUAAAAUACAAUAAAUUAGAGUUUCUAUUUACUGUAUGCAAUCUCCCUCAAGAAGGUGGACUAUAGACAGAGAUCCUGGACUGGGGUUUUCACUGAUGCAUUCUGACAGAGCAAUUUUGUUCAAAACAAAGAUUGUAUAAUAUGCUAGCUCUUUCAUAGUAUCCUUCUUGGUAAUGAAAAUAUAUGUGGACUCUACUCUCGAAGUAAAAUCUCUCUCUCUGAAUCUGAUUUUUUAUAAAACACCAAAAUUUGCCUAUACUAAUUCAGAAAUAAUUUAUUAAAACUAUGAAGGCAUCUUGUAAACUUGUAAAAAUUAUUUUGAAUUAACAUGUAGAAUUUGGAGAUUUAAUGUGAAAUUACAUCCAAAUUGAGAAAAUCAGUAAUUGAAAGUGUGGAUGCUUGCCAUUUCUUGAUCCACUUCUCUGUGGGAACUACUAGAAUUUUCUUAAAACACAUGACCCAUUCAUGAAUUUCCAAAUGAAUCAGUUAUUGUGGAACAAAUAAUUUGUCACUGAAUUUCAAAUCUGAACACUUGGCUCUGUUUUAAACUAUUUCCUAUAUUUCAAAGUAAACUUUCAGAGAUUGGGAGAAACAAAUUUUAAAUAAAAACUCUAGUACUGUAAUGGUUUUAACAAAUUGUUAAUGCAAUUAUUUUGCAUAUUGCAGUAUUUCUUAAAUAUUUAUAGAGUAUGAUAGACAUAUUGCACAGUUGAUUCCUGUUAUUUAUAAAAUAACACACAUCACAAUUAUGUGUAAAGAUACAAAUACUUCAAAUUUGAGCUUCUUUUUAUGACUGAAGGGAAUAAAUGAUUUUGUAAAAGUAACAUUGUAAAUCAAUCAAACCCAUACACCCUCUCUAAAACUCAAAUGAAAAAUAUGUAGUAGAAUAUUACAUAAUGAAUAAUGAAGGAAAAUAGGCAUAUUUAUAUGGUUUUACUACAUAUUUAUAUGUUUUUAUUAUACCAACAUAUAUUAACUUUACAUAAUACAUACCUUCACAUAUGUAUUGCAUAAAUAAACUAGAUAAUCAUAUACAUAAAUAAGCAUGUGUGUGUUCAUGUACACAUAUGUAUGCAUAUAAUUUCCUUUAAAAUUGAAUUACUAUCAUCUAGCCAGGUUCAAUCUUCUUUGAAUUUGUCUUUUAGUCUAGUCCUUGUGAUAUCUACUUCCUAAAAGAUAGACUAAAAUAUAAUAGAAAAUAUGGUAUGACAUGAAAUGCACAUGCAUACACAGGUACACAGGUGAAAUUUUCAAAAUGCACAUAGAAAAAAAUAGGUCAAAGUAACUACCUUUGUAAUGGAGUUGGGAAGAUGGAGUUCUUUUGUUAGGACUUUCAAUUUCUGAUUAGCAUACAGUUGCAGUAUUUAACUUUUAUGGAGUGCUACUGUUAUUCACUUCUUUAAAAAUUGUGCAAAUAUUAUUUCUUAAUCUAUAAUGUUUGCAUAUUUUAAAGAUAUAUCUUUCCUUACAAAGAGAAAAACUAACUUUAACAUCUCAGAUUAUACAGACUGUUCAUGAUCUGAUCAUUAGUGUCUUCUUGUCAUUUAAUUUUUACUCUCAUCUCUCCUUAUACACCAGAACAUUUUUGUGACCAUUAUAAUGAACUUCAAUGUUUCUAUCUGUUUGUCUUUUUUAAAAAUUCCCUACUGACUAGAUUUUCUAGGAACAAAUACAUUGACAUACUGUCUUAGAUCUCUCACAAUUUUCUUGUCCCACCUAGCCUUGCAUUAAUCUUUUAAUGAAACACUAAAUCAUACUACUCUCUACCUUAUCACUAACUCUAUAAUUAUUUUAAUUAUGCAUUUAAUACACUUGAAUGAUUCAUGAGGUAUUUGAAUGUGUCAGUACCUAGAAAGAAGAGAAGGAGGGAGGCAGAAAAGAUAAAAUAAAGGAAGAAUGUAAUAAGAGAUGGAGGCUGGUAAAAAUGGAAGAAAGGAAGGGAGAAAUAAAAGGAGGGAUGGAAGACAUGACAAUGGAAGAAUGGAAGAAGAAAAUGAAGGGCAGAAGGUAAUGUAAGAGAAGCAAAUGAAAUAUUAAUUGUAAUCUUAUGUUUAUUGAAACCAUUAUUUUUAAUUAACACCACAUUUCAAAAAUAUAUAGGAUGGGGCUGGGCAUAGUGGCACAUGCCUGAAAUCCCAGGGGCUUGGCCAACUGAAACAGGAGGAUCUGAGUUCAAAGCCAGCCUCAGCAAAAUAGAGGUGCUAAGCAACUCAGUGAAAUCUGUCUCUAAAUAAAAUACAAAAUAGGGCUGGGAUGUGACCAGUGUUCUAAUGCCUAGAGUUCAAUCCCUGGUAUCAAUAAAUAAAUAAAUAAAUGUAUAGGAUGGGAAGCAUAGUGACAAAAAUUCCGGAGCACAGGCUACUUCUAGUUAAGAGUUAAAGUAUGGACAUUGAUUUUUUAAAAAUUAUUUAGGAAAGGUUAUUGUUAACUAGAAAAGAUCUGGGACAACCAAAGCAGGCUCUCUGUAUACAUUUCAUGUAGGCUGCUGCUGAAAUCUAAGCCAGCUCAUAGAAAUCUCCUUACAGUCUAUCUUGUCAGCCAAUCAAGUCUGUUUUCACUUUCUUGAACCAAAUUUUUCAAACCAGGAAAUGUUUAUGGUAUAUAGAGAAUUAGCUCAGUAACCAUCUGAGUUUUCUUCUGUUUCUAAUGACAAAUUUUCACUUUCUUUUGCACCCUUGAGUGACUGAAGCAUCUGUGACACAUUUAAAACUGAAAUUCAGACUGGGAAAAUCAAUGUUUACAUUAAAUAGUCUGAAUUGUAAAAAAAAAAAAAAAAAAAAAAAAACUCAAAAAAGAGGACACAUGUCCUAGCCAAGUUUUACCUUUUAUUUCGUGAAGUGAAUACAUAUAUGUAUUCCAUAUAUGUAUGUGUGUAUGUAUGUGUAUGUAUAUAUAUGGAAUACAUAAAAAUUAUUAUACAUAUAUGGAAUAUAUGUAUAAUCAGUACCAAAUAGAAUAACUUUCCAGUAUUUAUGGAUAAAAAAUAAGUUUCCUGUGACUUUUCCAAUAUUUUGUUUUAUUUCCUCAUGAGAGACUUAAGAUAAGUUUAUGUUUUCUCACUUUUAUAUUUUCAAUUAACAUUAUUAAAAAUCAGGUGGGUCUUAAACUUCUACAGUUAUACAUGUAUCAAUGAAAUUUGAGUACCAAAAUGUAUUUCUCAAGUAAUAUAUGUUGCCUAUUUUUGACACGUUGUCAGUAUCAAAAUCAUUUAUUCUACUGAAACAUGACUAAUAGAUUCUUUAUUAAAAAAGUUUGGCGUGCAUACUUCCUACCAACCUUUUAAAAAGUGUUUUCAUUGUAAAAUUCCAAAACUUAAUGAAUUUAUUUCUCUCUAAACAAACAUUUUCCUUUUGGAUUUUUAAGUUUAACACAUUUUUAUUGACUGUGAAUAUAUACCAAGCCCUGUUCUAGGAUCCUGGGAUACAUGAAUGAACAAUGUAACAACAAUCCUUAUCCCCAGGUGUCUUACUGUUUUGUGUUGCUAUAUUAAAAUGAAGGAGGCUAGAUACUUUAUAGAGAAUUUGCCUUGAUGAUUCUGAUUGCUGGAAAUUUCCCAAAACAUGGCACUUGUGCCUGUUGAGACCUUACCUGCAUUACAACAUGAUAGAGAAACCAAAUGUGCAAGAUAACCAAGCAAGAGAGAGAGUGGAGAAAGCUGACAUUGCUGUUUAAACAACCAUUCUUGAGGAAACUAAUGCAGUUCCAGGAGAUUUGACCCACCCCUCUGAUAGGGUUUUUAUCUCUGAAAAAUAUUGCUCCUGUGACCUGAAAACCUCCCACUAGGACCCACCUUUUAGAGAUCCACCAAUACUGUUAUACUGGAGAACAUUCACUGCACAUGGAGCUUUGAGUGACAAAACAUUUCCAAACUAUAACAUCAAGACUUAUGUUUACAUCCUAAUUUCUGGUAGUCUUUUUGUGGAAUUUUGAAAACAAGUAGAACAAAUUAAUUAUCCUAAUUAACCCAACUACGUAUUUCUUUGGGUAUUCAACCAUAGGUUUAUUGUGUCUUUGCCUGAUAUCACUCAGGUGACUUGGGUAUUUAAAACAUGUCCCAAAACUUUAAUCAUGGACACUUAAAUAAGGAUAUUUUAGAAUUGGCACUGAAGGUUCAAAGUUUUAUUUGCUCUAGAAUAUCAAAACCAGGUAUAUGUGCAUGGAUUGACUCAGUGAAUAAAUCAUGCAUUCUAGAAAAAAGUGACUCUUCUUACAUUGAGUUCUAAUAAAAUUCUAGAAAAUGUUAUAAAUCAUCUUGUACUAUUCUGUUUAUUGAUGAAGAUAUCAGAACAAAGAGUAAACAAUGUUACUUAAAAAGAACCUAUGAAGGGCUGGGAUUGUGGCUCAGUGGUAGAGCACUCGCCUAGCAUGGGCAGGACCCGGGUUCCAUCCUCAGCACCACAUAAAAAUAAAGGCAUUGUGUUGUGUCCAUCUACACCUAAACAAUAGUUUUGUUUUGUUUUGUUUUUUAAAGAAAGAACCUAUGAAGCAAUGGUGACUUUAAAUAAUGUCACAGGAAAAGAAGUGUAAAAAAAAGAGUUGUAUUUUAGUGUUUAUGAUACAAUUCACAUAAAAGAAUAUGUGACUUCUCACAUGGAGCUGUUCUGACUAAUUCUCUCAUUUGUUUUGUUAAGAUACAUUUUGUAUUGACUGGGAGAAGAAUAAGGAAGAAGAUCACACAACAGAAUAAGUUAGAAUAAAGUCAUUUUAUUAAUUUUAGGAUACUUCUGUUCCAAAGAAUUUCCAAAAUUGAAAUCAAUCUUUACAAUCUUUACAAGACACAUUUUAAAGUAGAAAAAUUAUCAAGAACAGCUCUAAGCCAUUUCAUUAACUUUCAUUGAUAAAAUGAGAGAGUCAAAUUAGUGGAUUUCCAGGGUGAAAAGGAUGAUAAAAUACUAAAAGUUCAGGAUCCUUAACUGUCCACAGAUACAAAGCAACUAAUUCUUUCUUGAAAUAGAGUUAGAGUAAAAGGCUCAAAAUAUUUUAACAAAGAUAAGAAGAGUAAAAAUACAUAUUAUGUGGGAAAGGGAUGAUACUGUACAAGGAUCUCACACAAAAAUACUUUUAACACAACCCUUGGGAAAAGGUGUGCACUUUUUUGUUUGGUGUGCCAAUCAAAUGUGUGUUUUAUAAAGUCCUCUGCUAGGUGGGUACUGACCUCUCUGUGAUGGGCUAAAAGGUUGGUGGAGGUCAGAACUUCAUUUGGGUCUUUCAGGCAAUAGAAUACAUUAAAGAAGAUAAAAAAUACAUUGAAGAAAAAUUCACAGCUCUUGCAGAAUAUAAAUACAGAAUGCAAAGAUGAAAUAAAAUAAAGCCGAGAUAAAGAAAAAAAACUACAUAUAUAACACUAAAAUCUGAGCCAAUGAAAGUUGAAAUGUAAAUGAAAAUAUUAUUGUAAAUGGAAAUUGGGUCAUUAUGAAGAAAUAGUGAGAGGUCUAAGACUAUUUUUGUUGCAUCUGUAUAAUAUAAAAUAUGGUUGUACCUUUCUUUUCAGUCAUCUUUGGUAAAAUUAUAAAAAUAUAAACAGUAAGAAAAUUGAUAAAAUGGGGGAGUCAAAUUAGUGGAUUUCCAGGGUGAAAAGGAUGAUAAAAUACUAAAAGUUCAGGAUCAAAAGACAUUUCAUACCAUCUAACAAGCAAUAAAGAGAAUACUACUAACACAGUCCUUAUAGUGAAUAUACUGGACAGGACUGUUAAUAGCAAAUGAAGAAAAUAUACUUCCAAAAAAAUCACACUUGGUGCUCAACUCAUUGAAUUGUGAAGCAGAAAAUAAAACUAUAUUUCUGUAACAAUGUUGGUGGUGAAAAAGCUCCAUGAUCUUCAUCACUAUGGAAACAAAUGCUAAUCCUAAAGGUUGGACUUUCAAGUCAGUAAUUUAAUAUUUGACUUUCUUUAUUCCAAUAAAUUUAAAAUAGUAUCUAUUAAGUGAGCUUAAAGUGGAAACUUAACCAAAUUGGAAAUGAGGCACACAUUAUUCAAAAACAGAUUUGUCUUAAGUUUUGUAAAUGGGUGGGGAUAAUACAGAAAUUAAGCAAUUGGAAGUUUUUUUUUUUUUCCUCAAACACUGCAGCUACCAUUAAUUUAAGAAAUCAUUAAAAUAUGCAAUUCUGCAGCACUUAACCAAGGUAGGAAAUCAAUGAUUGAAAAUGUAUUUUUAGGGUGACUAGUUGUACAAAAGAGCUAAGCCUCAUAGCAAAAGUGCAAUGAGACAAAAACUUGUAACAUGACAAAAAUUGAAAUAUAAAAUUGACAAAUAGGUAAAGAGAAAAUUGUAUCAUCAACUCUAAAUGAGGAAAGAUUUACUAGAUAUUAUUUCUUCUUUAGCAGUUAAAGCAGUAACAAUAAGAAAAUGAUUCAUAUAAUUUACAUUUUUCCAUCUGUUGAGACAUUUUUCUCAUCUAAGAACUCAAAUAUGGGUUUUGCCAUUUUAUAUCACUUGCUCAAUCUUUUCUUUAAAACUCUGAUUUGACUUUUAUAAAUUUUAGGUCAUCUUUUUAUUUUGUGAGUCCAGCAAUAUAUUGAAUGUUUUUGUUAUAUGAUCCUCAAACUUUAACACAGUCUUAUAAGGGCUGUUUCUGGGCUCCUUAGGCUACCUUGUGGUUGAAACUUAAUAUGCUGAUACAUAUUUAGUGUUAACAUAUAGGUGACAUAUUGCCAUGGGAUUGAACCAAAAGUUAACAUUAAAAGUGCUAGUACUUAACAUAAAGAUAAAAAAGACUUCAUUGCAAAUGAUGCCAGAGAUAGGAACUUCUGACCCAAUGACAAUAGAAAUUAAACAAAGUGAAAGAGUAUGAUCAUUCAGGCAAAACAUUAAUUGGGAGGGGAUAUACCUCUAGGAGAGAAGAGGAAAGAGAGAGAGAGAGAGAGAGAGAGAGAGAGAGAGAGAGAGAGAGAAAUGAAAAUGAAUCAAUCUACUACAGAGCAAAGGAAGACACCGCCUUUUGUUGUGAUAUUGGGCUAGGGUCUGAUUGAACAAAAUCUCAGUUCUGGUUUUAACAGGUGGUUGCAGCAUUGCCCUGAUCACUUAAAAAGGAAAUCUCCAUUUUUAUCCCAGGAUGUUUAUCUCUCAGACCUGUGAUCCCAAAAGGGGCACUUUGGAUCACAUGAGGUGAUUACUCCUCCUUGGAGUGGGAGAGCUCAUCAGGGGCAUCUCCCUAGAAGACUACUGUUCCUUGAAGGUGUAUCACAAUGACUGAGGACUUCUAUGCACUAGUCCAGGGGGUCUGUCCUUGAAAAUCUUGAAAAUAUCAUAGUUACUUUUACCUUGGUGUCCUCAGUCUUGAAGGUAGAGGCAAUCAAUUAGAUAAAUUUAGAGUUAAAAAGCUUGCAGUGCCAGUUUUUAGAUGAACAUUCAUUGAUUAACAUACUUGUGGAUAGAAUUCAGCAAGAACUUGACCCAAAGUUUAAAGUAAAGGGAACAGAUGCAUGAUGAAGACAUAAAUGCCAAGCCUUCAUAAUUUUUACUUAUCCAUAGGGCAUCAGCAGGCCCAAGUGCUUUUCAGCAAAAGCAGUGUCCUUAAGUCUCUGUUAUAAUAGGGAAGUCAGGCUCGCUUUGUGUUUGUGGUACUCUCCAUGGGUAAUGGGUCAAGAUUAAUCCACAAAUCAGUGGAUUGUCUCUAGCCUUGGAACAGUUGCAUCUUUUAUUGUGAUAAUAAAGAGAUGGUUCUCCAUCCAGGUAGAAUCAUCUGCAGGCUUGUGAAAAACUCGGAGUCCUGGGCCCUCCUUCCAAGAUAUCUCUUUCCGGAGCUCUCUAGAGGAUUCUCAUCAUUUGCACUUCUCAAAAAUUCCCAGGUGAUGCUGAUAUUGAAGUAAAGCUGCUGGUCAGGAGACCAAGAACCUCUGAAUCCUAUACAAAGGAGUAACUUUUAACUGGUCACAUUUUCCCUAGAUAUUCAUGUCCUGGAUGUUUCCCCAGAAGCUUCCCUACACCCAAAUUCUGCAUAAUUGUACCUUAAUUUUUUUUUUCAUUUGUUGCUUUGAUUUUUCUAGCCAUGGCCUCAUGUUCAGGUUUUAUGAUUCAAACAGGCAUUGCUCUCCCUAAAUGAAGCUACCAAUGUCAUUUUCUUCAGUUACUUGUGUGAUUGCACAGUAUCCAGGCACUGAUGCAAUCACACUGUGCCUAAGUUCUUGCUGGAAGUAUUUAUAGAACUAUUCUAAUUGUAACUUUGAUCAAACUAAUCAUCUUGGUCUUUCUGGACAGAGGAUAGAAGAGAGAGAAACAACACUUUCAAAAUGGAGAUUCAUUCAUUAUCCUAAUGAAAUUAUGGUUAUUUUGACCAAAUUAAUCAUCAAGUUGACCUCCUUAGAUUUUUACUAUAAUGCAAAUUUCCCUUGAACAAUCUAAAAAAAAAAUACUAAGAAACUGUCCUCUACCAGGUAGAAAAACUGAAGGCUGAAAUAUAAAAUAUUAUUCUCAUCUAAACCAUGUAUAUUAUUCACCUAUAAGUAUUUAAAAGUAUUUGUUUAAGAUUCACUCUGUGCCAAAACCUCUUGGAGGUGAUGUGGAUGCUAAGUUUGCAUCUGCGGAGUUAAUAUUCUUAUGGGGUGAACACAUGAUAAACAGGAAAGCAGAGGAGCAAACCAAGUAACUUUGUAGUACUUGGGUCCUCUGAAGGAAGUAAACCAGGAAGACACAAUACAGUGUCAGUGUGUGGAGCUAAUUUAGGUAGAAUGAUCUGUGCAGAUCUCUUGGAGGAAGUGGCAUUUUGAUUGAGACAUCAUCAAUAAGAAGCAGUCAUCCAUCUCUAUCUCAGUGCUAAAGGCAAGAUUAAGAUUUGCAGGAUGGUAGAAGAGAAGCAUUCAGGAAGAGGAAAUAGGCAGCUGUAGAUGUUCUCAACUGUAAAUGCUUGGGAACCUGUUGAACACAGAAGGGAGAUUGAUUUUAUUCUGAACACACUGGAGAAUCUUGGGAAGGUGACAUAAUCUGCUUUAAUGCUUUUUAUUUGUUCUUAUUAAUUAGACAUGAGAGUAGAAUGUAUUUUGGCAGACGAUACAUAUAGAGAAUUUAACUUCUAUUUAGGAUCCCACUCUUGGGAUUAUACAUAAUAUGGAGUUACUCUGGUCAUGUAUACAAAUACAAGGCUAAGAAAGUUAUGAUGGAUUAAUUCUACUGUCUUCUAUAUUUCCUUCCCCACUACUGUUGCAUUCCUUUCACUUUGUCUUAACCCAUAGAUUUCUAUUAUUCUCUUCCUCAACCUCCCUUGUUUUGGAUUAGCAUCCAAAAGUUAGUCAGUAAAUUCAGUCUUUUUGUUUUAUAGGAAUUGGCUUAUUCCACUUACAAUGAUAUUCUCUCUCUCUCUCUCUCUCUCUCUCUCUCUCUGUAUAUGUAUAUAUAUAUAUAUAUAUAUAUAUAUAUAUAUAUAUUCAUAUUUUCUUUAUCCAUUCAUCCACUAAAGUACACCUAGAUUGUUUCCAUACUUUGGCUAUUAUGAAUUGAGCUGCUAUGAACAUUGAUGUAGUUCUGUCACUGUGGUAUGCUGUUUUUAAGUCCUUAGGGUAUAGAUCAAGCAGUGGGAUAACUGGAUCAAAUGGUGGUUCCAAUCCAAGUUUUCUAAGGAAUCUCCGUACUGCUUUCCAGAAUAGUUGUACCAGUUUGCAGUCCUACCAACAAUGUAUGAGAGUACCUUUAUCCCCACGUCCUCACCAACAUUUAUUGUUACUUGUAUUCUUUUUUAUUUAUUUAUUUAUAGUUACUUGUAUUAUUUAUUUAUUUGUAUUUGACAGAGGAAUGCCUUACAAUUCUUAUUACACAUAUACAGCACAAUUUUUUAUAUCUCUGGUUGUACACAAAGUAUAUUCACACCAAUUCGUCUUUUCAUACAUGUACCUUGGAUAAAAACUAUCAUCACAUUCCACCAUCAUUUAUAAUUCUGAUGAGAGGGAUGGUAUUUUAGUGUAGUUUAAAUUUGAAGUUCUCUAAUGGCUAGAGAUGUUGAACAUUUUUUCAUGUAUUUCUGACCAUUCAUAUUUCUUUUUCUAGGAAAUGACAUGAUCUGCUUUAUAUGGGUGAGAAUACAAACCUAUUCUUGGGGGUGAAUUUUGAACAGCUUUCUUAAAAAGGGGGUUUUAGUGAGCACAGUAAUUCUGAUGCAUCCUCAAGUAAUUCUGAUGCAUCCUCUAUAAUAGAGCACUUCUCCAGUGAAUUACAUGAAUGAGAAUUCCCUUCUGUGCUUUCCUUCUAGGAACAUGCCACCUAACACAGGGAAUGAAUGGGGAAAAUUGAGUUUGAUUCUUCAGUAUCUGGCUUGAGCAUUUAGCUGACUUUAUAGUUUCAUUAGCUGAGAUGGAAUUUUGGGGAAAUUUCCUAGGAGCAGCACAUUUGGAGAAAUCAAGCAUCAUCUUUUCAAUUUGGUUAGAAUUGAAGUAUUGUUUAGAUGUCCACGUAGGAAUGUCAAGAAGGUAAUAAGAUACAUAUGUAUCAGAAUUCUUGCAUAUGUCCAGAACUGAGAAGUAAAUUUUACAGCUUUCACCAUAUGGACAAUAAGGCCUAAGAAGGGAUCCAAGGGAGAUGAGAUGUGUGGUGAGUUGUCUAUUUUUUAUAUGUACUCAGAACUGUACAAAGUAGGUUCACAUGACUUCUUUUUUUUAGAUUUUGAUAAAUAGUCCUAUUGUUUUCCAAAAAGCAUAUAUAAAACAGAGGAAAUAAUAGCUAAAUUAAUUGCUAACAUGACUAUUUGUUUUAUGUCUAUGUAAAUAGUUAAAAAAAUUAUGCUAAUUACCACCAUGUCAAAAUUUGUAUGGAAUAUUGCACUAAGCAGUAAAAAAUAAAAUAAUGUUUCCUGAGUGAUUACAAAGAGUAUAGCAAAUUAAUGUCUAUUCUACUUCAUUAUAGCUAUGUCUUACAGAGCCACACCCAUCUCCACAAGGUCCUGAAUGUUUAGCUGGUAGUCUCUCAAGUCAGUUUUGCUUAACUACUUCUCUUCCCAAAACUGUACUAUGUUUAAUGGGAGACUCUAGAAGAAAACAUAUACAUAGGUUCUACAAGUAUGAACUCAAGAAAGAUUAUUGAUUUGGUAGGUAGUCAGCUCAGGGAUAGAACUACAGAUUUCACAAGGUAAACGAUUAUUCAUUGUUAAGUAAAUAAGAAGUGAUUGAAAUAAAUAGGAACUAGGCCAAAGGAAAAUAAUACACCUAUAGAAAGUUAAAGUAAAAUGUAUUCUCUUACAAAGGUAAACAAUAUUGCUGAUUUUAUUCAUGACCAGUCCAUUUAAACUCCAGAAAGUUUGGGCUUCCUUUUGAUAUUAUCACCCAUGCAUGUCAAUGAGAGGAGAUCUGAUUUUAGCCAUCAAAAGUCUCUGGACAAGGGUCUGGAUUUGUAGCUCAAUGGUAGAGCACUUGCCUCACAAUUGUGAGGCCCUGGGUUCACAUAAAAACAAAUAAAGGCAUUGAGUCCAUACCCAACUAAAAAAUAGUAUUUUAAAAAAGUAUCUGGACAAGAAGUUUUGAGUGAAUGGCUUUUUAUUUAUGCUAUAUAGUCAAUACAUUCCAUGGAGUAAUUACAGAAAACAUUUGUUGAUUGAAGAAAGAAAAUAAUUUGCCAUUAAAGAAGGGCAUUUUUUUUCCUAACACAAUGAAAAGACAGAAGUACUCAUAUGUGCUAGCAUCUGACCUCCUUCUUGAAAAUAUAUCAGUGAAAAAUUAAUUCAGUGAGAUGCAUCCCAGGUUCCCUGGGGAAAGGCAGAUACGGGACAAAGCAUAAUACUUAAAAGCAGCCCUGGGAAAAGUCUGAAAACAAUUUCCAAGAAUAUUUUCCAUAUAUUACAAGAGAAGAUAGCAUAUAUUAAGAAAACUAAGCUGGCUGGGUGCAGAGGCACAGCCCUGUAAUCCUAGCAGCUUGGGAAGUUGAGAUAGGAGGAUUGCAAGUUCAAAGCCAACCUCAGCAAUGUUGAGGCAUGAAGAAACUCAGUGGGACCCUAUCUGUAAAUAAAAUACAAAAUAAGGCCAUGCAUGUGGCUUAGUGGUUGAGUGACCUGAGUUCAGUCCACAGUACCAAAAAAAUAAAAGACUGAGCUGUCCACUCAGCUUAUGUUUCCUCAUUGGAUCCCUCCCUGAGAUUUGGAGAGACUCUGAAAGAAAGCUUUAUAUUGUCACAAUUUGAAUAUGAAAGAUAGUUUAAGAUUUUAUAAUUAUCACUAUGGGAGAUACCAGCAAUUUUCCUCCACUAAAUAGGAAAAGCCACCAUAACACAAUGCAUCAGUGACCAAGACAGCAAUCACCCCAAUGAAAUGAUACUGUGUAGGCCACCUUCGAGCCCAUAGCAGAAAGACCCUCCAAAAUUAGAGUAAACAGCAGUAAGAUACAACUUCCUGAAAACACAGGGCAAAACUUCUUUACUCUGCUUAAGCCACAUGUAAAAUUCUGCUUCUCCAUCAUAGGGUAGCAAUCAGAGCCACCAAAAUGAAGUUGUACAGAGAAGUGAUAAAAGAAAAACAACAUAAAGUGUAUUUAAUGGAGUUAAUUUGAGCAAAUAACCAUUCAUGAAAACAAGCAGCACUCGGAACCAAAAAGCCUCCCAGGCCUAUGCCCUGGGCUUCCAUGGGUUGAAUGCAGAGGGGAAGAAAUCACUUGAUUGACUGUAGCUGAACAUUUGCCUGCCUUGGGCAUAAUCACAUGCAAAGUUACCAGUUUUACUUUAGUUGGUGUUUUGUGAUUAGUUAAGCCUAAAUUUCAUUUUACUGUUUAAUUUGGGCUUCCAUUUGAUUAUGUAGGAACCCAAGCAGCUGUAGUUGUUUCUGCCUGAUUGCCUCUCAAUUAUUAUUUUUUUAAUAGCAAAAUAAAUGACAAAUGACAUGGGUAACAAUGUUGAUUUCAAUUGUUCAUUACAGGAAUUUAUUGGAUUGAUUUCUCAUCAGAAAAGAAUUCCUUCAUAUCACACUUCACUCACAGGAAGCAUGAAUUGAAGAAAACUACACAAAAUCUCAAUGACCUAGUAGUAUAUAAGAAAAGUUUAAUGAAGAGUCCAUGAGCAUUGAAAAAUUGAACUUUAACAGCCCUCCCGACACACACACACAUACACACACACACACACACACACACACACACACACACACUGGGGGCUGCCUUUCUUAGUUGCUCAUUGGAGAUUAAAAGCAUUUAGGAGAUGUAUCAAAUCUAACCUAUUCUAGUAAAUGGCUGAUGACUGAGCCUCAGUUGCAAACAGUACUGGAGGAAGGGAACUUCCAAUCCGAGUUUUAAAACAAUGAGAUUGAAACUAUAAGUGAGAGACAUUCACCUGAGGUCUGUGCAGAAAAUGGAUGGCUUAGGCAUCAGAAGUUGUAUGCAUGUGUUAUGGAGAACUGGCUUUAUAGGCAAAAUGUAUCCUUUUUUAUAUGGGACAAUUUCUACAGAAAUGGGCUUUUCACUAGGUUCAGUGGUACUUGAUUAUAAUCCCAGUAACUUAUUAUGGCUGAGGCAGGAGGAUUGCAUGUUUGAGGCUACCCUGGGAAACUCAACAACACCCUGUCAAAAUAAAAUUUUAAAAGAUUGGGGCAUAGCUCAGUGGUAAAACACCAUUGGAAUAAAUCCAGUGUCAUUAAAUAAAUAAAUAUGAAUAAAUAAAUAAAUAAAAGAAGUAGGCUUUCAAUUAAGAUCCUAUUGUUAUUUUUCUCUCUCUUCCAUAUGAAAUUCCUCCUUAGGACAUACACAUAGAAAUGUGUUUUUUUGUUUUCAGCUUAAACUUGGAGUUUGAAAAUUUUGAUACCUUGCCAUUCCCUUCCUGCAUUGAUCUCUUUGUUCCAGACUUAUCUUUGAGUAUAUAUAUACCCAGAAGUUAUGGGCAAAAUGUUGAACAAUCUCUAAGGCAUAAGCACCAAACAAUAACAAUAAGUGUCAGCCUUUGAGCUGGAGCAGAAUCUGGAAACACCCUGGUUAAAAGGCCUUGCCAAGUGGAUUCUUCCUCACAAGGUGGUCCAUGGAGAAAGGACUAUGGUCCUUUGCUAUUAUAACUUCUGUUUUGACAAAACAGUAUCAUCAUAAUGUUGCAUCAAAUGAAGUUAGGAAUCUCAAAACCAACAAACAUGACUUUAUUCUACUAGCCAAAUGACAAUUCCAUGACAAUAUUGUACUAUUAGUUCACCUCUGAGGCCAUUCUCCCUUCCACCCCCAGCUUAUUUCCAUUUGUGGCAAAUUCUCCAAUUAAGGCUUAAAAUAUAGGGUUGAAAAAGGAAAGACUUGAUUCAUGUUAUUAUUAAUUAUUAUUUUCCUAAUCAGACCAUUGGAUCUCUGUUUAUUACCUCAAAUAUAGAAAAGUUCUCUGCUGUGUUAAUAUGAAGUAAUCUGAAAGCAAAUGUAACCCACUUGAAUGAUAUAAGCAUCAAUUAGCCUUGUGACUUUCAGCAGAUCACUUGCUAUUUUUUUCAUCUAUAAAACUGGAGUAGUUACUCUGAUUUCUAAGAUUCUCCCAGUUUGGGUAUUUUGAAUCUGGUUUUAUGAGCUCAUAGUAGUUAACACUUCUCAUUUUUCAUAAAUUGUACAUAGAGAAGUAGAGGAUGAUAGCAUUUAUUGUGUACUUGGUAGUAUAAACAGGGAAAGGUUUACUAUUUUGAUUUCCUAAUGUUCUUCACUUUUAAUUUUAAUUAAUAGACCAAUUUACAUCAGCAAGUAAUCAGUUCUGGAAAAAGGAUCAUCUAUCUUGAUGGUUUAAGCAUAAUUUUCACCAAAGAAUCAACAUAAAUUUUUAUUUAGAUUGAUUUAUAAACAUUUCCUUUAAUAGCUUUUUAGAGUUUUGUGUAUUUAUUUACAGUUGUCUUUCAAUAUUUUAUUCAUUGGAGUUUUCCUCUUUUAUUAGCUAUGGUCUAGCUCUGACUUUCUAAUAUUUUUCCAGAUGACUCCCUGGUUGUUCUAACAAUAUUUACAGAAUUGUUCAUCUUUCCCCAAUAGUUUGAUAUUACAUAGACUUUUUUUUUCAAACACAUUACAUGGUUUUGGUACUUUUAAUUAUCUUCCAUUCAUUUGUCUAUAUAUUUAUGUUCAAAUAUCUUAUGUGACAACUUAUAGUGAAAUCUUUGGUAUACUCUACAACUUAUUUAUGAUUCAUUUUUCUUAUUUUUAAAAAGGCAGCAGUAGUAGUAUGUACCUUAGAGAUGUUAGAAACAAGAAAUUAUAUAAUGCUUAAAGAAUUCAUCAUAAUAUCUGACCCAUUCUAAAUUUCUAAAAAUGAUAUAUAUUAUUAACAAUAUGUACUAUUAGUAAUAAUAUCAGUAAUAUCAUUUUCUUCCUGCUGCUAAAAUUUUAUUUGUAUUUUAUGGUUGGUUUCAGUGCAUACCUGUUUGUUUGUGUAUGUGUUUUCUAGGAUUUGUUGUUGUAAUUGACAAAUUCAUGCAGUUUAAACUCAUAUAGUUUGGGGGAAAACUCCCUCAAUCUCUUCUAAUUAGAAUUAGUACUGCCCAGCAGGAAUCUUUAUUCUAGAUAGUAGUUUGCAUCCUACUGGGUUGCUGUUGCCAUGUUUCCUAAGUCAUUCCUGUACAGUUAAAUGUGUGUUUUGAUUCCCUCUUGAAAAUCAGCUAGAACUUCUCUACUCUGUAAAACAAAGCCUAACUCCCUGCUGGUACCAUUUUCACAACCCGGCCCAAACUGGAAAUUGGCCAGUUUUAGUCUUUUGUUCUCCAACUCUAUGGGGAAAACUUCAGUCAUCACCAAGGAUGAGCAUGGUGCCCCUCACUGAGCAGCUGAAAUUAAAUCCAAUAACUGUGGAGUUUUUGUACACCUGAAGAGAGUACUGGAAAGAUAAGGUACAAAAAUUCACAAGCUGAUUUGCAUCUUCUGUACCUGUUCUCAAAACAGAGUCUCAACUCUAUUUUCCCUAAUGAUUGACAAAAGAAUAUGCCCCUCACAGCAGAGCCCAUAAAAAGUAGCUCUUAUAUCUUGAUUAUUUAUUAGAAUUGGUUUUUUUUCCAUUUUUUAGAGUAGUAAAUCUAGCAUAGAAUCUUAAAACAGAAGAAGGAGUUAAAGGGAUACAGACUUUGUAUAUACCAGCCAGUAAACUGAACUUCUGAUUUCAGGGUUCAUAUUUAGGUUGUUUAGUAGAGACAUUACAUGGGCUUUUCAAGACCAGAGAUGAUAUCUUUCUAAAACACCGCACCACUACCCUGGGUCAUUAGCAAACUAAAUAUUAUAGUACCUAGAUAGUUGUUGGGACUUGAUUGUUUUUGAUUCUUCAGUUUUGAAUGGCAAGAAUUACAUUUCACCAUCUUGAAUUAAGGUCUGCUAAGUAUGAGAUGUAUUUCUGCCUUUCUGUUUAUACCAUAUGACAACAUCUCUAACAUCAUGUAUCCAAGGGCAGAAACUGAAGGAAUAUUUUCCAUGGAAGUAAAGUAAUCAGACAGUCAAAAUUUGGAAUCACUCCUAGUUCUUUGGAGGUAAAGUUAAAUAAUCUGAAAGCAGAUUUUUUUGUGUAUAAGAAUGUUAAUAAAAGUGUAAUUAGUUCAGCAAAUAGCUUUAACUUUUCAGAAAUAUUUCUCAGAAACAGGUUUAUUACAACUGAUUGUUAAAUAUGCUGUCUCAUUGCUUGAUAAUGUGGUUGAGGGGGAGACUAAUCCAUUGUUAGCUCUUCCUCCACAGUGAAAUUCUGCUUUAUCUACAUUCUCAAUUGGGACUUACUCUUUGCUCUUAAUGAGCCUAUGACUAAGAUGUGUAGUUGACACAUCUUUAGCCGACAUGAUUAAUAAUGUUUUCUCGAGAGUUUUCCCCCCCUCCUUCUAUUUCUUAGAAAAUACCCACCUACUUGACCUCUGGCUGGAACUCACCUUCAAGCACAUGCAUAUUUAUAGUGAUUUUGACAAAAGAAUUAGAAUAAAAAUAGUUCCACAAAUGGGACUUGUGUAUACAUUUUGAGUUUAAUUGUUUUUCAAAAGUUAGAAAAUGUAGAAUAACUUCUAGGGUCNNNNNNNNNNNNNNNNNNNNNNNNNNNNNNNNNNNNNNNNNNNNNNNNNNNNNNNNNNNNCCUAGUUCUUUGGAGGUAAAGUUAAAUAAUCUGAAAGCAGAUUUUUUUGUGUAUAAGAAUGUUAAUAAAAGUGUAAUUAGUUCAGCAAAUAGCUUUAACUUUUCAGAAAUAUUUCUCAGAAACAGGUUUAUUACAACUGAUUGUUAAAUAUGCUGUCUCAUUGCUUGAUAAUGUGGUUGAGGGGGAGACUAAUCCAUUGUUAGCUCUUCCUCCACAGUGAAAUUCUGCUUUAUCUACAUUCUCAAUUGGGACUUACUCUUUGCUCUUAAUGAGCCUAUGACUAAGAUGUGUAGUUGACACAUCUUUAGCCGACAUGAUUAAUAAUGUUUUCUCGAGAGUUUUCCCCCCCUCCUUCUAUUUCUUAGAAAAUACCCACCUACUUGACCUCUGGCUGGAACUCACCUUCAAGCACAUGCAUAUUUAUAGUGAUUUUGACAAAAGAAUUAGAAUAAAAAUAGUUCCACAAAUGGGACUUGUGUAUACAUUUUGAGUUUAAUUGUUUUUCAAAAGUUAGAAAAUGUAGAAUAACUUCUAGGGUCAGAUAUUAUUUUAUAUUUUUCAUGCAUUAUAAAUCCAAAUGACUGUUUUGCAAGGUUUGGUCAGAACAAUUAAUGACUGUCUGAAUUGUGUUUAGUUUGUCUUUUUAUCUUCUUCUUCUUAACAAAAUAAUGGUGCUUUAUAUCUCCAUUAGUACCUCAUUUUUCCUCCCUAUGAAUCUAGAAAUAAAUGAAAAAUGAAUUAAAUAGGACUUGUAUUAUUAUUUUAAAACUGCUAAGAAGGAAAUGUCCAGAAAUAAUUGAUUACAAGGAUACAUUUAGAACCUCUCAAUGUCUUAAGAAUCAAUACUUGUUUUUUGACUCAAAAUGAUUCUCCCCGGAAUAUUCACAAUAGGUUAGGAAUGGAAUAUGAAACAUAUUACUAUGUGUCCAGCUCUUUUAAGAUUAUGGUGCCCUUUAUUUCUUUUUAUGUACCUUGUUUUGGAAUACUUUUGAUGUGUAUUCAAUUUCAGUUAAAUUUAUUAAGUAUUAUAUAUGUUUUAUUAAAAGUACUUAAAUCUCAGUGCAGAAAAUAUUAUGUUUACCAUAAUGGGGCCCAUUUUUAAGGCAACAUAAUUCCCAGGGAGACCAGUCACUUUUAUUUGCAGGUACUUGGGACAUAACUUGAACACUCCCAUAAGUCACAUCUUCCUCAGUCAUUUUUCUUUUUCUCAUGUUUGUAAUCCUGGACUACAGAAUGAUAUUUGCUUAAAAAUAUGUUCACGGAGUUCUUAUUCUUGUUUUAUUUGGGCUUAUUGAAUUCACUGUUUUCUACACAUAAAAAUUUCCUUGGCCUUGUUAGCUUGUUUCUCUUUUCCAAGUUGAGUUAAGGGGGAACCUGAAAAUGGACAAUGUCAAAUUUGAUAAAUAGACCAAGGAACUUAGCAGACUCUUCUCAGAAGAUGAUAUGCAAUUAAUCAACAAAUACAUGAAAAAAUGCUCAACAUCUCUAACAAUUAGAGAAAUGCAAAAAAAAAAAAAAACGACUCUAAGGUUUCACCUCACUCCAGUAAGAACAGCAGCUAUUAAGAAUACAAACAACAGGGCUGGGGUUGUGGCUCUGAGAUAAAAUGCUUGCCUAGCACAUGUGAGGCCCUGGGUUCAAACCUCAGCACUACAUAAAAAUAAAUAAAUGAAAUAAAUGUAUUAUUUCUGACUACAACUAAAAAAUAAAUAUUUAAAAAAGAAUACAAUAAGUAUUGGUGAGGAUAAGUGGGAAAAUUUACACUGAUAUAUUGCUGGUGGGACUGCAAUUUGGUGCAGCCAUAUGGAAAGCAGUAUGGAGAUUUCUUGGAAAACUUGGAAUGGAAGCACCAUUUGACCCAGCUAUCCCACUCCUUGCACUAUAUCCCAAAGUCUUAAAAAUAGCAUACUACAGGAACACAGCCACAUCAUUGUUUCUAGCAGCACAAUUCACAAUAGCUAAACUAUGGAACCAAUCUAUAUGCCCUUCAGUAGAUGAAUGGAUAAAGAAAAUGUGGUAUAUAAAUACAUGACAGAAUAUUACUCAGCAAUAAAAGAGAAUGAAAUCAUGGCAUUUGCAGGUAUGUGGAUGGAGUUGGCGAAUAUAAAGCUAAGUGAAGUUAGCCAAUCCCCCUAAAGCAAAUGUCAAAUGUUUAAUUCUCUGAUAUAAGGAGGCAGAUUCAUAGUGGGGUUGGCAGGGGGAGCAUGGGAGAAUUCGACAAACUCUAGAUAGGGCAACGGGGUGGAAGGGAAAGGGAAGGGGCAUGAGGGUAGAAAAGAUGGUGAAAUGAGAUAGACAUAAUUAACCUAAAUACAUGUAUGAAGACAUGAAUGGUAUGAAUAUAGUAUGCAUACAACCAGAGAUAUGAAAAAAUGUGCUCUGUAUGUGUAAUAUGAAUUAUGAUACAUUCUGAUGUCAUACAUAACAAAUUAAAAUUUUCAAAAAAUUAAAAAGAUUAAAAAUAAUUUAAAGUUGACUUGUUCCUUCCUCCAAUAUCUAAAUCAAAUUUGAUAUAUAAGAGUAUGUAUAGGGUUGUUGUGGGAGUACAAAUAUGUAAGGGAUGACACACCUGUUGACAACCUCAAAGGUAGACACUAGAGUAAUUUCUAGACAAGAUUAAGGCAGCUAUGUAGGGCCAAGAGGCAUAUUGUCAAAUUCCAGGACAGAAAAGAUGGCCAAAAUUACAGCAUCCCCUGUCUCCAAAAUAUAUGGAAGAUGGCUAUAACCAGGCCUGUCUGAGCACCUGAUCAAAGUGUGUUGGUAUAGUUAUUUCAACUCAUGAAAAUGUCACAGAAAGAUGAAUGCAUCCUCCAUGUCAUGGGGCCCUUUGAAACACCUGGUAGGAGAAUGGAACUCAGCUAAUGGGUUGACAAGCAAGUGACCUUACCUCACUUUCUUGGCAAUGGAACAUGCAGAAGUUGAAAUCCAGGUAGUAGGCAACCAGAGCCAGACACAAUCCUAAUCUGUUCAAUUGUUUUGAGUCAGCAAGUACAGAGUCAUACAUUCAUGGCAAAUACUAAUCUGUGGAUUUGCAAAGCAAGGAAAGCACAGAGUAGGGGCCUUUCCUGAGAAUGGAGUUGGUGAAUUCUCCUGUGUCAUGACAAUUCUGGUGAGUAUGCCCAAAGACAUCAGAGCUGAGACAAGUCAGGUACUUGCAGGUGAACAUAGUUUAACCCACCAGUCAGAUGACACUUGGAUAGACACAGAAAAUCUCCAGGGGUGUGUGUGUAUGUGUGUGUGUGUGUGUGUGUGUGAGAGAGAGAGAGAGAGAGAGAGAGAGAGAGAGCAUGUUUGCACAUGUGUAUUGAUAUUUGUGUUUGUAUUUCUGUUUGUGUCUCAUAUUCAGUGUGAAAAUGAAGGGAAAGUCAUUUGUUACAUUUUCAUUGAUGGUAUAGUAGUGAGUCAUUUUCCUGCUGGCUACUGUUUUUUUAAGUUGAUGUAUCCCUCUUAAUAUAUCAUACUAGGGAGAAGAAGAGAAAAAAAUUGUAUCAAUGGAUGUGUGCUGUCUAGUGGAAACAUUCCCAGCACUCAUCCUACAAAUUUAUGAAUAACCUACUGCUUGCCUGUGGAUGGAUAACACCUAUAAUGUCCAUGACUUUAUGUAUUCCUCCUGAAAUUUGGUCAGUACCCUGAAGGAUUUCAUGGUUUUGAGUUUUAUAUAUAUAUAUAUAUAUAUAUAUAUAUAUAUAUAUAUAUAUAUAUAUAUAUAUAUAUAUAUAUAAUAUUUUAUAUUAUAUUACAAUAUAAUAUUAUAUACUAUAUAUACAAUAUAAUAUAAUUAUAUAUAAAUAUUAUAUAAUUAUAUAUUAACAAUACAUUAUAUAAUUAUAUUUUAUAUAUUAUAUAUAUACACACAUACACACACACACACACACACACACACACCACCUCCAAGCCCUGUGAAAUGGCCAUUUGUUGGCUUGGUGAAAGGAAUGUUGAGCAUCACUGUGAAACUCAGAUAUCACUCGGAAAGGUAUGGUUUUCAUAGGAGGACCUUGCUUGGAAAGAAAGAAAUCCAAAUAGGAUGAACAGUAGAAGUAAUUGCCAUAGUUUUGGUCAUGUGGAAAUCUAUCAGGGGCAUUGGUCUUCCCUAUGUUUCUGUUUCCAAAAAUGUGAAGAAGUUCUUUGCCUCAACCCUCUCUAUUGUGAAGCCUCAGGUAGAGCAGUUUCAAAAUUAAUGUAGUGGCUGCAGCUGUCACUCAGUAGUAAAUUGCUUGCCUUGCACGUGUGAAGCACUAACUUAGAUCCUCAGCACAAAGGAUAUUGUUUGUCCACCUACAACUAAAAUUAUUUUUUUAAUGUGGAUUGAGUCUUAACUGCAUCUACUAAGACACCUGACAUUCAAGAAGUGACAACAGGGACCCUCUAGGUGGAAUAUGUUUGUCCUCACCCUGAGAUACCUAGGACAUAGAUGGUUGAGUUCUUUUUUUCCUCAAAUACACACAAAGAACCUACCAUUGGCAGACACUAGGACUCUAAUUUGGGAAGAAGUGCAUAGUGCAUAGUGCAUAGCUUCCCUUAUUCUCAGGAAUUGUGUCAAGCCCACCAUGUUUUUAGGCAAAAGAGGAGCACUGGACUUUAUGAUUGAUACAGUCCCUGGACUUCUCUAGGAAUGGAAAUCUCCAGCCAGAUGUUGGUGAGGAGUGGCUACAUGGGAGAAGAUGAGUGGAAUUUGGGCCAUGAGGGAGGGUUCUUCUUUGAAAUUUGGGUAUAUGUGUGGUACUUUUAAGACAUGGCUGAGUAAACCUGAGGUUCCAUGCUGAUGUGAAUCUCAUCAGAUACCUGAGUUCUGGGGCUCUCACUAUAUUACUAUUAUAGUGAAUUGAGGUGGGACUCGAGGUACAUAAGCAUCAGAUGUUUUAUUGGAAAUUGGAGUUAGGCCCAGUGUAGAUUACUCCACAACAGAGGGAAUGUUAGGCAGAAUUUCACACACAUUUAUUGGUAGAGCAUUGUCUGCCAAUGUAGGGAGUCUGAUACACACAUGUUCCUCCCAUUUUAUACCCAUUGGCCUGACUACAUAUGACCUCUUGGCUAGUAUUUGGGAAGCUCUCCCUGUGUGUAUUCUCCAAAGGUUCCAAAUAAGAGUCCUCACUACUUUUUUGCCCCUGUCUCAAUCCAAACCUUAAAUCUAUAUUGUAAACCUACACAGUGUGCAUAUUUAAGGGGAUGUUGACUUAUACAUUCAAUUACCAAUGGUACACUGGCAUAUGUCAUUAUAUAUUGAUUUAUAUGAUAUAUCUGUGCAUCCCAUAAUUUAAAAAUAUGAAUCCAAGUUACACAUCUAGUGCUCUUCUGUGUUUUAGAUCUUACAUAUUUUAUAUAUUUUUAUAGAUAUUUGUCAUAUAUACAUUCUUAUGAAUAUUCAUGUUUUCUAAUAUCAAUUUUAUUAUUGCAUUACAAUUACUCCUACCCCAAAACAAAAUGUAAUGUUGACUCUAACCUUACUCCAUUACUUCAAUCUUAUUUGACAAAAGAGCAUUUAUAGAGUUGAUCUUGCAGUACAGGAAUGUGGGGUAUCAUCCACCUGCUGCAAACCUCAGAGGUAGAGACCAGAAAGAUCCCUGGGGAAUAUUAAGGCAGAUAUGUAGGCCCUGAGAGGCAUAAUGUCAUCUUCCAGGCCAAAAAAAAAAAAACAUGGUCAGAAUGAGGUGAUAUGUCUGAAUCAAGUUUUGUCUUCUCAGUCCAGGGAAGAUGGACAAAACCAGGCCUGUCUGGGUACUUGAUCCUGGGCAUGUUGGUAUAACUUUGUCAACUUGUGAAAUGUCACAGGAAGAUGUGUGCAACCUCCAUCUCAUGGGGCCCUGGUCAUCACCUGGUAAGAGAAUGUGGUUGCCAAGGAAAUGAAGUCACCUCACUUCAUUGGCUAAGGAAGUUACCUCACCUCACUUCCUUGGUGAUGGAACUCACUGAAUUUGGAAUCCAGGUAGCUAGGCACCCAGAGCCAGACACAGUCCCAGUCUGCUCACUUGUUUUCAGUCACUAAGGACAGAGACAUACUUUCUUGGCAUCUACUGAUCUGUGGAUGGGCAAAUGCCAGGAAAGCACUGGGGAGGGGUCUUUCCUGAGAAUGAAAGUACUGAAUUAUCACGGAGUCAGGACAAUUCCAGUGAGUUUUCCCAGUAUUACCAGAGCUGAAACAGGAUAGGCAAUUACAGAUGAACACAGUUUAACCUACCAGUCAGAUGACGCUUUGGAUAGAAGCAGACCCUCUCCACUUGUGUGUGUGUAUUUUUGUUUUUUUCUCUUAUUCCCUGAGAAUAUGGAGGGAAAACCAUUUGUUUAGGUUUUCAUUGACUAUAGAGUUAUGAGUUAUUUUGCUGAUGGCUACUGUUUGUAGGUUGAUAUAUCCCUUUUAAUCUUUCAUUCUAGGGAGAAGAGGAAAAAUGCAUCAGUGGAUGUGUCCUGUCUAGUGGAAACCUUCCAAGCACUCAUCCUGGCAAAUUAAUGAAUGGACUACUGCUUUCCUUGUGGAUGGGGAACACCUACUAUGUCCAUGAUUUUUUUCUAUCCCUCUAAUUCUUGGCUGCUACCCAGAAGGUGCACAUAGGUUCCUGUAAAAGAUAUGUUCCACCCCCAAGCUCUCUGAAGUGGCCAUAUAUUGGCUUGGUGAAGGGAAGCCAGAGCAUCACUGUGAAAUUCAGAAAUCACUGUGAAAGGUAAGAUCUUCAGAGGAGAGCCCAGCCUGCAUAUGCUCUACAGAGAAGUCAUCCAAGUAGAAUGAGCAGUAGGAGUAAAUGCUAUAGUCUUGGUCCUGUGGAAAACUCUGUGAAGGGCUUUGUUGUUCCCUAUUGUUAUGUUCCCAUGAAUGUGAAGAAUUUCUUUGCCUCAGGCCUCUCUUUUGUGAAGCCUCAGGAAAAGCUGUUUCAAACGUGAAAGCACUUUUUAGCUUCCCUUGUUCUGAGGAAGUUUGUGAACCCACCGUGCCUUUAGGCAAAUGAGGGGCACUGGAUAUUACAUUUGACAAAGUCCUGGAAUUCUCUAGGUGAUAAAAGAUCCAGCCAGAUAUUGAUGAGGCAUGGCUACAUGAAAGAAGAUGAGUAGACUUUGGGCCAUGAGGGAGGGUUCUUGCUUUAAGUGUGGGUAUUUGUGUGGUUAUUGUAAGUGAUGACAGGGUAAACCUCAGGUUUCAAUCUAGUGUGAACCUCAGUGGAGACCUCAUUUGUGGGGCUUACCCAGUAGAGGGAUUACAGCGAGUUGUUUGGUAUUUUAGGUAUCUAAGUCACAAGAGGUAUCCUUAAGAACUUACAGCUAGGUCCGGUGUGGAUUUCUCCAGAGCACUAGGGAUCUCAGCCAUGAGUUCACACAUUUUUUUCUGUAGAGCCUUGUCAGCCAAAGUUGAGAGCCUGAUACACACAUGUACCUCACAUUUUAUGCCCAUUGGCCCGACUGCAUGUGACCUCUUGGCUAGUAUUUGGGAAGCUCUCCCUGUGUGUGUUCUCCAGAGGUUCCAACUAAGAGUCCUCACUACUUUUUUGCCCCGUCUCAAUCCAAACCCUGCAGGACAACUUACUUCAUUCUUGACAUAUGGCUAUACCUUUACCCAAACAGUUUUGAAAUUCCCAUGGCCAGGAACCACUAGAGCACCUUAGGAACUUCUGUUGCUCAUCAUGAUGGAAUAAAAGAAGAACUUUAUUGUGAGGAACUCAUUAAAAUUCUAGGUAACACAGACACCAGUGGUUUUGAGCUCUCUGAUAAUGGGGCCUGUGGCAGAUGAGUGAAGGUGUGUGCAAAGAAAUCUGUGCAACGGCCAUGUGGAUCU